Molecule: long non-coding RNA, 1004 nt
Filed under: Equus asinus (donkey)
Lineage: Eukaryota; Metazoa; Chordata; Mammalia; Perissodactyla; Equidae
Description: lncRNA (ENSEASG00005028293.1)
Source: RNAcentral
UUUUAAGUAAUUCACGUUGGAGGGAGGAAGUGACUGAGGAAAAUGUGAAAAUGAGUAGCUAUUGCAAGAUGUGUGUGAUAAAUGAAACAGGGAACAUAAAGACAGACGAAGAGGCACAUCUGUUAUUUUUGCUCCUUUUUAUAGCAACCUCUAAGUUAGACUUUUCACACUAAGUAGGAACCGCUUAGCUCCUGAGCGAUUUCCUGACCCGAGCCGGCGUCCGUCCCCCUGGAGCGGAGGAGGGUGGAUGCCACCCACGGGGGCCCUGAGGACCAGCAAGAGCCCUCAGAGGGCAGCCCCCCAAGGCUUUGUGCAGGAAGGGGUCGGUGGGCCUUCAUUGCCAGCUCUUCUUUCGCUUCCCCUCCGUUUAUUGAAGAGUGGGGUAGCCACCUCUAUACCCGGGGACAUUCGCACCCAGACUGUUCCACAGAAGCAGCCAGGAAUGCAAAGGGACGUUUUUGGCGGAUGGUGUGCCCAGUGCCCGUGGGAACUGGCGUAAGAUGGGGCUGAUGGAGCCAAACGAUGCUGAGCUUUCUUCAGGGGGAACUGCCUUCCGGUCUGAGGCCCAUCAGCUGCCCAGUGGGGGCUGCCUGGAAGCAGAAGUGGAUGGUGAAGUCAUCACUGGCUGUGGAUUGGCCAGGCAGGUACAGCAGCAUGACUGUCCUCCCCUCUUCUCUAUUUGGGACAGGAAGUUAGCAGCCACUAGAUGUGGCUCUGUGACUGGGUUCUGGCCGAUGAGAUGUAGGAGAAAGAUGUUGGAAGGCAAGGCUCCAGAAUAGGAGGAUAGACUGCUGGAGCUCUCCCUUUUGUUCUUCCCUCCUCUGUGAUGCUGGAAGGUAGACACCAUGGCUGGAGCUCAAACAGCCAUCAUGGACUAUGAGGCGAUGUGCUAAAAAUGAGUGAACAGCAAGAGAGGAGGAGCAUGGGUCCCUGAUGCACUCAGAGCCACCAUUCCCCCUGGGCUAACCACCUCCGGACUUCUUUUAUGUGGGAGAGAAAUAAAC